This 253-nucleotide ribosomal RNA is filed under the name uncultured bacterium. Its description in RNAcentral is "partial 16S ribosomal RNA". It matches the Rfam family "Bacterial small subunit ribosomal RNA", at positions 524 to 776 of the family's 1533-position model. The record is from RNAcentral.
UACGGAGGUGGCUAGCGUUGUUCGGAAUUACUGGGCGUAAAGGGCGCGUAGGCGGCGUCGUAAGUCAGGCGUGAAAGGCCCGGGCUCAACCCGGGAACUGCGCUUGAUACUGCGGCGCUCGAGUCCGGGAGAGGAUGGCGGAAUUCCCAGUGUAGAGGUGAAAUUCGUAGAUAUUGGGAAGAACACCGGUGGCGAAGGCGGCCAUCUGGACCGGUACUGACGCUCAUGUACGAAAGCGUGGGGAGCAAACAGG